GUGCCAGCCGCCGCGGUAAUACGUAGGGAGCAAGCGUUGUCCGGAAUUACUGGGUGUAAAGGGUGCGUAGGCGGGAUUGCAAGUCAGGCGUGAAAUACCGGAGCUCAACUCCGGAGCUGCGCUUGAAACUGCAGUUCUUGAGUGAAGUAGAGGCGGGCGGAAUUCCUAGUGUAGCGGUGAAAUGCGUAGAUAUUAGGAGGAACACCAGUGGCGAAGGCGGCCUGCUGGGCUUUAACUGACGCUGAUGCACGAAAGCAUGGGGAGCAAACAGGAUUAGAUACCCUGGUAGUCCAUGCCGUAAACGAUGAUAGCUAGGUGUGGGGGGACUGACCCCUUCCGUGCCGGAGUUAACACAAUAAGCUAUCCACCUGGGAAGUACGACCGCAAGGUUAAAACUUAAAUGAAUUGACGG
RNAcentral lists this ribosomal RNA (412 nucleotides) under uncultured bacterium. RNAcentral describes it as "bacterial SSU rRNA". It matches the Rfam family "Bacterial small subunit ribosomal RNA", at positions 505 to 916 of the family's 1533-position model. The record is from RNAcentral.